Molecule: ribosomal RNA, 201 nt
Filed under: uncultured bacterium
Lineage: Bacteria
Description: partial 16S ribosomal RNA
Rfam family: Bacterial small subunit ribosomal RNA
Source: RNAcentral
UUCGGACUGGAGUCUGCAACCCGACUCCACGAAGCUGGAUUCGCUAGUAAUCGCGCAUCAGCCACGGCGCGGUGAAUACGUUCCCGGGCCUUGUACACACCGCCCGUCAAGCCAUGGGAGCCGGGGGUACCUGAAGUGCGUAACCGCGAGGAUCGCCCUAGGGUAAAACUGGUGACUGGGGCUAAGUCGUAACAAGGUACC